UACGUGGAGGGCGAGCAUUACCCGGAUUUAUUGGGCGUAAAGAGCGCGUAGGUGGCCUAGUGGAUUUAGGGUUAAAUUCUCAAGCUCAACUUGAGAACCGCUCUAAAUAUCGCUAGGCUAGAGAUUAGGCUGGGUAACCGGAACUCGUGGUGUAGGGGUGAAAUCCGUUGAUAUCACGAGGAACGCCGAAAGCGAAAGCAGGUUACUAGUCUAUAUCUGACACUCAAGCGCGAAAGCGUGGGGAGCGAACCGG
Molecule: ribosomal RNA, 253 nt
Filed under: uncultured bacterium
Lineage: Bacteria
Description: partial 16S ribosomal RNA
Rfam family: Bacterial small subunit ribosomal RNA
Source: RNAcentral